Molecule: ribosomal RNA, 523 nt
Filed under: uncultured bacterium
Lineage: Bacteria
Description: partial 16S ribosomal RNA
Rfam family: Bacterial small subunit ribosomal RNA
Source: RNAcentral
GACGAACGCUGGCGGCGUGCCUAAUACAUGCAAGUCGAACGCUUUUUCUUUCACCGGAGCUUGCUCCACCGAAAGAAAAAGAGUGGCGAACGGGUGAGUAACACGUGGGUAACCUGCCCAUCAGAAGGGGAUAACACUUGGAAACAGGUGCUAAUACCGUAUAACACUAUUUUCCGCAUGGAAGAAAGUUGAAAGGCGCUUUUGCGUCACUGGUGGAUGGACCCGCGGUGCAUUAGCUAGUUGGUGAGGUAACGGCUCACCAAGGCAACGAUGCAUAGCCGACCUGAGAGGGUGAUCGGCCACACUGGGACUGAGACACGGCCCAGACUCCUACGGGAGGCAGCAGUAGGGAAUCUUCGGCAAUGGACGAAAGUCUGACCGAGCAACGCCGCGUGAGUGAAGAAGGUUUUCGGAUCGUAAAACUCUGUUGUUAGAGAAGAACAAGGAUGAGAGUAAAACGUUCAUCCCUUGACGGUAUCUAACCAGAAAGCCACGGCUAACUACGUGCCAGCCGCCGCCGUAA